UUAAAGUAGUAAGGGCGCAGGGUGGAUGCCUUGGCACUAAGAGCCGAUGAAAGACGUGAUAAGCUGCGAAAAGCUUCGGGGAGGAGCACAUAUCCAAUGAUCCGGAGAUAUCUGAAUGGGGAAACCCGGCAGAGGAAACCUCUGUCAGCGUGCAGUGAAUACAUAGCUGUACGUGGGGAACCCGGGGAACUGAAACAUCUAAGUACCCGGAGGAAGAGAAAGAAAAUUUAUCGAUUUCCAAAGUAGCGGCGAGCGAAAUGGAAAGAGCCCAAACCGUGAUGCGUGCAUCGCGGGGUUCGGACUGCGUUGUGGCAGACGUAAGAUAGGAGAACGGACUGGGAAGUCCGGCCGGAGAGAGUGAAAGCCUCGUAUCCGAAAUCCCAAGUCGCCUAGCAGGAUCCAGAGUAGGACGAGACACGAGAAACCUUGUCUGAACGAGCGGGGACCACCCCGUAAGGCUAAAUACUUCUUAGUGACCGAUAGCGCAUAGUACUGUGAAGGAAAGGUGAAAAGUACCCCGGGAGGGGAGUGAAAGAGAACCUGAAACCCUGUGUCUACAAGCUGUGGGACCUCUUUAUAUGAGGGACUGCGUACUUUUUGUAGAACGGUCCGGCGAGUUGUGCGUACUGGCGAGGUUAAGGACUUAAGGUCUGGAGCCGAAGUGAAAGCAAGCGUUAAUAGCGCGUCAAGUCAGUGAGUGCAGACCCGAAACCGGGUGACCUAUCCAUGUCCAGGUUGAAGCUUCCGUAAGAGGAAGUGGAGGACCGAACCCACAUCCGUUGAAAAGGGUGGGGAUGAGGUGUGGAUAGCGGAGAAAUUCCAAUCGAACCCGGAGAUAGCUGGUUCUCCUCGAAAUAGCUUUAGGGCUAGCCUCAUGAGAGUCUUAUGGAGGUAGAGCACUGAAUUGCCUAGGGGGCGUCAAAGCUUACCAAAGCAUAUCAAACUCCGAAUGCCAUCAAGAUGAUUCAUGGGAGUCAGACCAUACGAGAUAAGUUGGAUGGUCAAAAGGGAAAGAGCCCAGACCUACAGCUAAGGUCCCAAAGUACGUGUUAAGUGGAAAAGGAUGUGGGGAUUCUAAGACAACUAGGACGUUGGCUUAGAAGCAGCCAUUCAUUGAAAGAGUGCGUAAUAGCUCACUAGUCGAGAGUCCCUGCGCCGAAAAUGUCCGGGGCUGAAACACGACACCGAAGCUUAGGAAUGUGUAAACAUUGGUAGAGGAGCAUUGCUGGCGGGAUGAAGCCAUACCGUAAGGAGUGGUGGACUGCCAGGAAGAGAGAAUGCCGGAAUGAGUAGCGAGAUGAAGGUGAGAAUCCUUCAGGCCGAAUAUCUAAGGUUUCCAGAGUAAAGCUGAUCUGCUCUGGGUAAGUCGGGACCUAAGGCGAGGUCGAAAGACGUAGUCGAUGGAUAACAGGUUGAAAUUCCUGUACCGCAUAUAAACAGAACUGUGGGGACACAGACAGGGAAUGGAAUCCGGGAAUGGAUAUCCCGGUGCAAGCGAGGUAGGAGUGCUGUUGGCAAAUCCGCAGCACGAUCUGAAGACGUGACGCGUACCGAACAUAAGUAGGGAAGUCCAGGCCCCUGGCUGUCAAGAAAAGCCGCUAUUGUUUUAUAUGUGCCCGUACCGCAAACCGACACAGGUGGAUGAGGAGAGAAUCCUAAGGCCGACGGGAGAAGUAUUGUUAAGGAACUCGGCAAAAUGACUCCGUAACUUCGGGAGAAGGAGUGCCAUGAGAGUGGCCGCAGAGAAAUGGCCCAAGCAACUGUUUAGCAAAAACACAGGUCUAUGCAAAACCGCAAGGUGAAGUAUAUGGGCUGACGCCUGCCCGGUGCUGGAAGGUUAAGGGGAGAGGUUAGCGCAAGCGAAGCUUUGAACUUAAGCCCCAGUAAACGGCGGCCGUAACUAUAACGGUCCUAAGGUAGCGAAAUUCCUUGUCGGGUAAGUUCCGACCC
This 1950-nucleotide ribosomal RNA is filed under the name human gut metagenome. Its description in RNAcentral is "bacterial LSU rRNA". It matches the Rfam family "Bacterial large subunit ribosomal RNA", at positions 1 to 1989 of the family's 2925-position model. The record is from RNAcentral.